RNAcentral lists this ribosomal RNA (431 nucleotides) under uncultured bacterium. RNAcentral describes it as "partial 16S ribosomal RNA". It matches the Rfam family "Bacterial small subunit ribosomal RNA", at positions 29 to 505 of the family's 1533-position model. The record is from RNAcentral.
AACGAACGCUGGCGGCAUGCCUAACACAUGCAAGUCGAACGAGACCUUCGGGUCUAGUGUCGCACGGGUGCGUAACGCGUGGGAACCUGCCCUUAGGUUCGGAAUAACUCCCCGAAAGGGGUGCUAAUACCGGAUAAUGUCUUCGGACCAAAGAUUUAUCGCCUUUGGAUGGGCCCGCGUUGGAUUAGCUAGUUGGUAGGGUAAAAGCCUACCAAGGCGACUAUCCAUAGCUGGUCUGAGAGGAUGAUCAGCCACACUGGGACUGAGACACGGCCCAGACUCCGACGGGAGGCAGCAGUGGGGAAUAUUGGACCACGGGCGAAAGCAUGAUCCAGCAAUGCCGAGUGAGUGAUGAAGGCCUUAGGGUUGUAAAGCUCUUUUAACCGGGAUGAUAAUGACAGUACCGGGAGAAUAGGCUCCGGCUAAAUCCA